GGUGAACGCUGGCGGCGUGCUUAAGACAUGCCAGUCGAACGGGCUCUUCGGAGCCAGUGGCGCACGGGUGAGUAACGCGUAACUGACCUACCCCAAAGUCGCGGAUAACGAUUCGAAAGAAUCGCUAAUACGUGAUGUGCUGUCAGAUCCUGUUCUGCCAGCAAAGAUUUAUUGCUUUGGGAUGGGGUUGCGUUCCAUCAGCUAGUUGGUGGGGUAAAGGCCCACUAAGGCGACGACGGAUCGCCGGCCUGAGAGGGUGGCCGGCCACAGGGGCACUGAGACACGGGUCCCACUCCUACGGGAGGCAGCAGUUAGGAAUCUUCCACAAUGGGCGAAAGCCUGAUGGAGCGACGCCGCGUGAGGGAUGAAGGUCUUCGGAUCGUAAACCGCUGAAUCAGGGACGAAAGACGCGAAAGCGGGAUGACGGUACCUGAGUAAUAGCACCGGCUAACUCCGUG
RNAcentral lists this ribosomal RNA (458 nucleotides) under uncultured bacterium. RNAcentral's name for it is "partial 16S ribosomal RNA". It matches the Rfam family "Bacterial small subunit ribosomal RNA", at positions 28 to 507 of the family's 1533-position model. The record is from RNAcentral.